UGGAAGUAAAAGUCGUAACAAGGUUUCCGUAGGUGAACCUGCGGAAGGAUCAUUAUCCAUCUCAAACCAGGUGCGGUCGCGGCCCCCGGGGGCUUGCUCCCGGGUGGUAGGGGUAACACCCUCACGCGCCGCCUGCCUGUACCCUCUUUUUACGAGCACCUUUCGUUCUCCUUCGGCGGGGCAACCUGCCGCUGGAACCAAAACAAAACCUUUUUUGCAUCUAGCAUUACCUGUUCUGAUACAAAUAAUCGUUACAACUUUCAACAAUGGAUCUCUUGGCUCUGGCAUCGAUGAAGAACGCAGCGAAAUGCGAUAAGUAGUGUGAAUUGCAGAAUUCAGUGAAUCAUCGAAUCUUUGAACGCACAUUGCGCCCCUUGGUAUUCCAUGGGGCAUGCCUGUUCGAGCGUCAUCUACACCCUCAAGCUCUGCUUGGUGUUGGGCGUCUGUCCCGCCUCUGCGCGCGGACUCGCCCCAAAUUCAUUGGCAGCGGUCUUUGCCUCCUCUCGCGCAGCACAAUUGCGUCUGCGGGGGGGCGUGGCCCGCGUCCACGAAGCAACAUUACCGUCUUUGACCUCGGAUCAGGUAGGGAUACCCGCUGAAUUAA
RNAcentral lists this ribosomal RNA (604 nucleotides) under Paraphaeosphaeria neglecta. RNAcentral describes it as "eukaryotic LSU rRNA". The stretch from base 256 to 409 matches the Rfam family "5.8S ribosomal RNA". Lineage: Eukaryota; Fungi; Ascomycota; Dothideomycetes; Pleosporales; Didymosphaeriaceae. The record is from RNAcentral.